UACGUAGGUGGCGAGCGUUGUCCGGAUCUACUGGGCGUAAAGGGAGCGUAGGCGGACUUUUAAGUGAGAUGUGAAAUACCCGGGCUCAACUUGGGUGCUGCAUUUCAAACUGGAAGUCUAGAGUGCAGGAGAGGAGAAUGGAAUUCCUAGUGUAGCGGUGAAAUGCGUAGAGAUUAGGAAGAACACCAGUGGCGAAGGCGAUUCUCUGGACUGUAACUGACGCUGAGGCUCGAAAGCGUGGGGAGCAAACAGGAUUAGAUA
Molecule: ribosomal RNA, 261 nt
Filed under: uncultured prokaryote
Description: partial 16S ribosomal RNA
Rfam family: Bacterial small subunit ribosomal RNA
Source: RNAcentral